UGGGGAAUUUUCCGCAAUGGGCGAAAGCCUGACGGAGCAAUACCGCGUGAGGGAGGACGGCUUUUGGGUUGUAAACCUCUUUUAUCAGGGAAGAAUCGAUGACGGUACCUGAUGAAUCAGCAUCGGCUAACUCCGUGCCAGCAGCCGCGGUAAUACGGAGGAUGCAAGCGUUAUCCGGAAUUAUUGGGCGUAAAGCGUCCGUAGGUGGUUUAUCAAGUCUGCUGUCAAAGCGUGCGGCUUAACCGCAUAAGGGCAGUGGAAACUGAUGAACUAGAGUGCGAUAGGGGUAACAGGAAUUCCCAGUGUAGCGGUGAAAUGCGUAGAUAUUGGGAAGAACACCAGUGGCGAAAGCGUGUUACUGGGUCUGCACUGACACUCAGGGACGAAAGCUAGGGGAGCGAAAGGGAUUAGAUACCCCUGUAGUC
RNAcentral lists this ribosomal RNA (425 nucleotides) under uncultured Leptolyngbya sp. RNAcentral's name for it is "bacterial SSU rRNA". It matches the Rfam family "Bacterial small subunit ribosomal RNA", at positions 355 to 795 of the family's 1533-position model. The record is from RNAcentral. Lineage: Bacteria; Bacillati; Cyanobacteriota; Cyanophyceae; Leptolyngbyales; Leptolyngbyaceae.